CCUACGGGUGACAGCAGUGAGGAAUAUUGGUCAAUGGGCGCUAGCCUGAACCAGCCAAGUAGCGUGAAGGAUGACUGCUCUAGGGGCUGUAAACUUCGUUUAUAUGGGAAUAAAGUGCAGUAUGUAUACUGCUUUGCAUGUACCUUAUGAAUAAGGAUCGGCUAACUUCGUGCCAUCAGCCGCGGUAAUACGGAGGAUCCGAGCGUUAUCCGGAUUUAUUGGGUUUAACGGGAGCGUAGGCGGGUUGUUAAGUCAGUUGUGAAAGUUUGCGGCUCAACCGUAAAAUUGCAGUUGAUACUGGCAGCCUUGAGUACAGUAGAGGUAGGCGGAAUUCGAGGUGUAGCGGUGAAAUGCUUAGAUAUCACGAAGAACUCCGAUUGCGAAGGCAGCCUGCUGGACUGUAACUGACGCUGAUGCUCGAAAGUGUGGGUAGCAAACAGGAUUAGAUACCCCGGUAGUC
This 460-nucleotide ribosomal RNA is filed under the name uncultured bacterium. Its description in RNAcentral is "partial 16S ribosomal RNA". It matches the Rfam family "Bacterial small subunit ribosomal RNA", at positions 338 to 795 of the family's 1533-position model. The record is from RNAcentral.